Molecule: small RNA, 29 nt
Filed under: Bombyx mori (domestic silkworm)
Lineage: Eukaryota; Metazoa; Arthropoda; Insecta; Lepidoptera; Bombycidae
Description: ovarian small RNA-8723
Source: RNAcentral
UGGAUAACAGACCCUAGGUAGCGGAAGUC